This is a small nuclear RNA of Lacerta agilis (Sand lizard), 150 nucleotides long. RefSeq annotates it as U12 minor spliceosomal RNA. The record is from RefSeq and is a predicted model, not a curated record. The transcript has a single exon. Lineage: Eukaryota; Metazoa; Chordata; Lepidosauria; Squamata; Lacertidae.
AUGCCUUAAACUUAUGAGUAAGGAAAAUAAUGAUCUGGGGUGACACCUGGGUCCUCACUGCUAAGGUGAGAUGAAUUUUUGAAUGGGUACAGGUCGUCCCUAUGGUGACCCACCUACUUAGCGGGAUGCCUGGGUGCUUUGAUCUGCCCA